This 426-nucleotide ribosomal RNA is filed under the name uncultured bacterium. RNAcentral's name for it is "bacterial SSU rRNA". It matches the Rfam family "Bacterial small subunit ribosomal RNA", at positions 354 to 796 of the family's 1533-position model. The record is from RNAcentral.
GUCGAGAAUCUUCCACAAUGGGCGAAAGCCUGAUGGAGCGACGCCGCGUGACUGAAGAAGCCCUUCGGGGUGUAAAGGUCUUUUUCCGCCCAUAAAUUUUGAUAGUAGGCGGAGAAUAAGUGGCCGCCAAACUCGUGCCAGCAGCGGCGGUAAUACGAGUGCCACAAGCGUUAUCCGGAAUUAUUGGGCGUAAAGCGUCUGUAGGGGGUUUAGAAAGUUAGGGGUUAAAUCUUUCGGCUUAACCGAAGGACCGCUCUUAAAACUACUAAACUAGAGAGUGCGAGAGGCUGAUGGAACUCAGAGAGUAGGGGUGAAAUCCGUUGAUACUCUGGGGAACACCAAAGGCGAAGGCAUUCAGCUGGCGCAUUUCUGACCCUGAUGGACGAAAGUGUGGGGAUCGAACGGGAUUAGAUACCCUGGUAGUCC